CCCUUAGAUGUUCUGGGCUGCACACGUGCUACACUGGCAGGUUCAGCGAGCUUCAUGCCCUGAUCUGAAAGGAAUGGGAAAUCUUUUCAAAACCUGCCGUGCUUGGGAUAGAUGUUUGCAAUUAUUCAUCUUCAACGAGGAUUGCCUUGUAAGCGCACGUCAUCAGCGUGCAUUGAAUACGACCCUGUAUUCUGUACACACCGCCCGUCGCUCCUACCGAUUGAAGUUUUAGGUGAGUUGACAGGAGGAUUUUUUUGAAACUGGUUCGCCAGUGGAUUUUAGAUCCAAAUGCCAACGAAUCGAUGGCUUUAGAGGAAGGAGAAGUCGUAACA
This 332-nucleotide ribosomal RNA is filed under the name uncultured eukaryote. RNAcentral's name for it is "partial 18S ribosomal RNA". It matches the Rfam family "Eukaryotic small subunit ribosomal RNA", at positions 1470 to 1796 of the family's 1831-position model. The record is from RNAcentral.